GCCCUUUCAAAAAUAAAAGGUGUUACCUGCCCAAUGGUUUAUAAAUAAUAAUCAUAAAUUGUUAAAAAAUAAAUUUAAAGGACGCGGUAUCUUGACCGUGAUAAUGUAGCAUAAUCAUUCGCCACUUAAUUUGUGGAUAGUAUGAAUGGUAUAACGAGUAUAACACUGUCUUAAAAGGAAAUCUUAUAAAAUUAGAAUAAUAGUAAAGAUACUAUUUAAAACUGUAAGACGAGAAGACCCUAUAGAGCUUAACUAUAACUCUUUUUAAAUCUAAAAAUUUAUUUAUUUUAAUAAAGAGAUAGGUAGUUUAGUUGGGGCGACUGCUUUCUAAAAACAACGAAAGUAAGCAAAAUUAAUUAUUGAAUUUACUGUAUAAAUAAUAAAUUUAACAGUUAUGAAAAUAGGCAAUAGUGACCCGUUAAUAAUCAGUAAAAGUUUUAACGAUUAAUAAAUAAAAGCUACCUUAGGGAUAACAGGAUAAUUUUGUUCUAGAGAUCAUAUCGAAAACAAAGUUUGUCACCUCUAUGUUGAAUUGAGACAUCCUAGAAGUGCAGAAGCUUCUGAGGGUAGGUCUGUUCGACCUAUAAAGUCUU
This 593-nucleotide ribosomal RNA is filed under the name Zanclea cf. protecta Zapr01. RNAcentral's name for it is "partial large subunit ribosomal RNA". It matches the Rfam family "Bacterial large subunit ribosomal RNA", at positions 1833 to 2597 of the family's 2925-position model. Lineage: Eukaryota; Metazoa; Cnidaria; Hydrozoa; Anthoathecata; Zancleidae. RNAcentral also lists the same sequence under 2 other names. The record is from RNAcentral.